RNAcentral lists this ribosomal RNA (126 nucleotides) under Chlorobiota bacterium. RNAcentral's name for it is "Chlorobi bacterium (hot springs metagenome) partial 23S ribosomal RNA". It matches the Rfam family "Bacterial large subunit ribosomal RNA", at positions 2798 to 2925 of the family's 2925-position model. Lineage: Bacteria; Pseudomonadati; Chlorobiota. The record is from RNAcentral.
CCCAAGAUGAGGCAUCCCACGCCGUUGAGGCGGUAAGGACCCAGGGAGACGACCUGGUUGAUAGGCUCCACGUGUACGCGCGGCAACGCGCUCAGCGGAGGAGUACUAAUCGUCCGAGGUCUUAUC